Sorex araneus (European shrew) is the source of this 107-nucleotide small nuclear RNA. The record is from Ensembl. NCBI's taxonomy places the organism in Eukaryota, Metazoa, Chordata, Mammalia, Eulipotyphla, Soricidae.
GUGCUCACUUCGGCAGCACAUAUACUAAAACCCGAACCAUCCAGAGAUGAUCAGCAUGGCUCUUGCACAAGGAUGGCACAUAAAUAUUUGAAGCAUUCUGUAGGAUA